This is a long non-coding RNA of Lathyrus oleraceus (garden pea), 1379 nucleotides long. RefSeq lists it as uncharacterized. NCBI's taxonomy places the organism in Eukaryota, Viridiplantae, Streptophyta, Magnoliopsida, Fabales, Fabaceae. The transcript has 3 exons. The record is from RefSeq and is a predicted model, not a curated record.
AUGAAGAGAGGGGUUAGAGUGUACUUAUCUACACUUACGUUCGACACACCCCAACUGCAAUCGGAAUCUCCCACCUCCACCGCGCUGGAAAUCGCCUUCGGCGACAGUGGAGGGCCAAACCCUAUAAAACCAAACAUCAUCAUCUCCGUAUUAUACUCUUCUACAUGAAACCAGUGAUGUCUUCUACCAAUUCACAUCCUAAACCACAAAUCAACCUGACUCACGCAAAAGCCCUAAUUCCUAUUUCAAGAGGAAUCAAUGCCUUUUUCGAGAGGGCUUUGUUCCGCGGGGUUUCAUACUAUAUCAUGGAGGAAGUAAAUCGGAGAAGAAAAAUGGAAUUGCUUACCUGUCGGAGAAGUUACGGCGACUCUAGAAGUGGUGUUCCUCCAAGAAUCCAGAGACCCUUCCCUUUCUGGUGGUGUGCUUCUGUGAUUGUUGUUACCAUUUGUUUGUUGUGGAAACGAAUUCGUUCUGGAAACACAAAGCGAGGACCGACGAAUCAUUGUUGAUGCUGAAGCGUUGAAGAUGUGAAUUGAAGAUGAUGCGGUCGAAGCAUCAAGACUCCAGUUCUAGACUUCUUUUACGAAGAUCGAAGGUUUGGUUUGAAGGAUGAAGCUUUGAAGGACAAUACUCCUCUUUCUCUGAUUCGUCAAGGCUCACAUUCACCAAUGCCUUUGAACUCUUGUGCGAUGAAUCUCUGGCCGAUCAUCAGGAUGAUACAGAAGAAGAUUGAAGAAAUUCCGUGAAGAUAGAUAUUGGAUUGGAGCAGUUUUGAGGGAGAUUGAAGAGGGUGUAGGUAAAAUCUUGGAAAGGAUUGAAGAACUCCAACAGAAAAUUGUGGAGCAAGGAAGCAUGGAAUGAAGCAGAAGAAAAGUGAUUGAAGAAAUGGUGAUUGGAUAAAGUGAAGUUUGAAGAAAAAUGAAGAUUGAAAAACCAAUGAAGGUGGAAUCAAAAGGGUACUUACAGUUGAAGAUGAUAGCUGUGGUGAUGCCUCCUGAGCAAUUUCUACCCUUCUCUAAUAAAUUAAUCCAACUCUAAAUUGGUUGAUUAAGAUGAACCUCAAUAAGGUACUCCAGAAUAAAGGGUCUUCUUACUGAAGCGUGUAUCUAUCGUCGUCAGUGUCGGCAUGUUUUAAAUUUCCUUUGGUUUCUUCUUUCUCUUUGAAACCGUCUAGCAGCAAGCCUUGAUUAGCCUGGGAUUGGAUUGUUAUGAAGUGCCUCAAUCCAUACUUCAAGGCCGCAUAUGGUUAGGUGUUUGUAUUGAAUGAUGGUCAUGAGGGUUGACUAGGUUUAUGUGUUUGUAUUGUAACGAGAGUAAUGGAUAAUUGUUGUAAUGUGGGUAUUAUUGAUGAGGUGGAUACCUAUUAUGUUAAAUGGUCA